UGGGGGAUAUUGCACAAUGGGCGAAAGCCUGAUGCAGCGACGCCGCGUGGGGGAUGAAGGCCUUCGGGUUGUAAACUUCUUUUGCUCUGAACAAGGCGCACCAUGGGGUGUGUUGAGUGUAGGGGUUGAUUAGCGCCGGCUAACUACGUGCCAGCAGCCGCGGUAAUACGUAGGGCGCGAGCGUUGUCCGGAAUUAUCGGGCGUAAAGGGCUUGUAGGUGGCUGGUUGCGUCUGUCGUGAAAGCUCAUGGCUUAACUGUGGGUUUGCGGUGGGUACGGGCUGGCUUGAGUGCAGUAGGGGAGGCUGGAAUUCCUGGUGUAGCGGUGGAAUGCGCAGAUAUCAGGAGGAAUACCGGUGGCGAAGGCGGGUCUCUGGGCUGUUACUGACACUGAGGAGCGAAAGCAUGGGGAGCGAACAGG
Molecule: ribosomal RNA, 419 nt
Filed under: bacterium
Lineage: Bacteria
Description: partial 16S ribosomal RNA
Rfam family: Bacterial small subunit ribosomal RNA
Source: RNAcentral